Molecule: long non-coding RNA, 1740 nt
Organism: Raphanus sativus (radish)
Lineage: Eukaryota; Viridiplantae; Streptophyta; Magnoliopsida; Brassicales; Brassicaceae
Exons: 5
Source: RefSeq, a predicted model, not a curated record
CAAAAUUGAAAGAACCCAAAUUUGAGGACUUGCCUCAUCACGUUUCUUUCUCUUCUCCUCUUCAUCGUUGAAGAUGAAAAUUACUUUUGCCGAUCAAAACAGAAAACCAGUGCACCUCCAACCAUAUCCUGCAUCUUCCCAGACCCAUUUUUACCUUUGGUUCCUAGCCCCACGAAAGAACCUUUGUGGUCUUUCUCUUCAUGCAGGACGAGAUUAAUUCCGUCCCGGACUAAUUCUGAUCAGAACCUGCACCUCCGAUAUGCUCCGGUGAUCACUUCGCCAUCUAGCUCCGAGUAAAGAAUCUCCAUUGUUGGCUGAUAAAACUUGACCUCGGUGCUUCUCGAUGUAAUCCUGCAACUCCACUGGCGAUGAACUCUGUUUGUAUCUCUUCCUUUAAUAACAAAUUUUGCUUUGAUGUCAACCUCCAUAGCAAGUGACUCCACCUUGGGAUUAUGAGCUUGAGAGAGUUCGCGACUCUCCCUAAUGCCUGCCUUCCCGAUGGUUAAAAACACAACCUGAUAUGGUCCUUCACAUCCUCUGGAAAUACAUACACCCUGCAUACACCACAGUCCCCAUUGCCGUCACUACAAUCCUUGAAAAUUUAGCCAAUCUAGCUGCAAGUCUGAUCAAUAUGUCUUCACUUUCCAGUGAGACUUUCGUCCCUGAUCAAUUUUAAGAACUCUGGAGUUCUCGGUUUCGUCAAGCCGUACAUCCUUAACAUCCUUUGAUUCAUUCCCUUGAUAGUGAAGUUUUGAUGCAACCCUGCAUCCUCUGGCAUACUCCUCCGAUGCCAACCCUUUGUAAUCUCAGCUUCUCCGAUGAACAACCGCAUCUCCUCAGCUGUGCUGAUAACUCUAGCUUUUUAUACAAACAACAUACUUGUGUUCAUCUACUGCCGUUUCAUCUUCUCGCAACAUCUCCAGCUACUCCUCCUUUGCUGCUCAUGAUGAUCCAUGUUCUGUAACUUCAGACUUUAACUACUCCACCUUAAGCAAUUUCUUUUGCUUUUUCUGUAGCUACUCCACCUGAAGCCAAUAUCUCUUCACCCUAGCUUCAUAGUUGUCGCAGUUUGCAAGGCCAUCUUCACCAGUCUACAUCUAUGCGUUUAUUCACAGCAUAGAUCAGAGUCAAUAUUUUGUUCUGUAAUAAGUUUUUACUUGGUGGAAAUUGGGUCUAACGCGCACAUUUCGUGGGUGGUUGUGAACAAUAGUCCGUCUGCAGCAAAUAUGAGAAACUGAUCUUGUAUAAACGAUAAUCCAUCAUAGACGGUGCUUACUCAAGUGUCUGAAGCAAAUAUGAGAAUGUGAACUUGUACUACACAUUUGUCCUCCCACAGAAGAUUAAUAAUUCUCUAGAGAUUGAUCAAUAAGUCCAAAGUUUAAAUAUUUGAAUGGUUUUCUAACCACUAAAGCUAUACUAACCAUUCCAACAAUCAAACAAGGUGAUAACAACAAAAAGAAGUAAGGUAUUUACCUCUUCGUGAACCCAAACCAUAUUGGCCAAGAAAUUCUUGUGACUCUCUGGUACUACCUCCACCAGAGUUUCUCCAGGGACAAUAUUCCGAGAGACUUCAAACAAUAUUAGGUUCGUCAACACCAAGCAUUCAAACAAUAUUAGGUUUGUUGGUUUCUGGCAUAGUCUUUUUACGCCGAAAAGGGUUGUUAACGGAGAACACACUUGAAAAGCCGGAAUUUUCGCCAUCCUCAGCCACGUCACCAGAGAAGAGAGUGAUGAAGAUCC